This 245-nucleotide long non-coding RNA is filed under the name Trifolium pratense (red clover). RNAcentral describes it as "long non-coding RNA (TPRA_LNC002256)". Lineage: Eukaryota; Viridiplantae; Streptophyta; Magnoliopsida; Fabales; Fabaceae. The record is from RNAcentral.
CUGGAUACCCCUAUACAUAUAUAAAAUUAUGAGUAUAUGCUACAUAUAUGUUGGACGCGAUAAAAUUGAAGACAAUUUAAGUUGGCCGAGUGGUUAAGUGGUAUGUGGGUAUUAAAUUGGCUUGAGUUCUUGUCCUUGCAAUAGCAUUUGUUUUUAAUUUAUCUGUUUUGAUGAUUUUUUUAGUUUUCUAUUUUUUUCUUUAAAAAAUCAAUUUUACUGUGUAAAAACCCACACAAAUCAAGAUG